AAUUGUGCUUCCACAUCCAUGGUGUUUUCUCUACACAGAUUGCUGGUUUUACCUCAAGUCCAAAGCUUUAAGUUGACCUGAAUAUUUCCAGUUAACAUUCUCUUUGUCAGAGGGGCAUGAACUUCUCCCCGGUUAAAGAAUGUGUGUGUGUGUGUGUAUGUGUGUGUGUGAGAGAGAGAGAGAGAGAGAGAGAGAAUUAUCAUUCUGACACAUUCUUUUGAAAUUGAAUUCUUACAGCUCUCCACACAAGGAGAUGCAAGUCAGGUGAUUGGGCCUCUUACUGAAGGACAGAGAAGAAAUGUGGCAGUAGUGAAUUCAUUGUAUAAGUUGCACCAAUCAGUAACAAAGGUUGUUUCCAGUCAGAGCUCAUUCCCACUGGCAGCUGAGCAAACUAUAAUUUCAGCUCUAAAGGAUCUGCAGUACAGUGUUGAAUAGAACUGGCUAUUCAUGCUCUUAUGGAAAAUGCUGUGCAACCCUUACUCACUUCUGUGGGAGAUGCUAUAGAGGCCAUAAUCAUCACCAUGCAUCAAGAAGACUUUUCUGGGUCAUUAUCCAGCUCAGGAAAACCUGAUGUUCC
Molecule: long non-coding RNA, 577 nt
Filed under: Homo sapiens (human)
Lineage: Eukaryota; Metazoa; Chordata; Mammalia; Primates; Hominidae
Description: non-protein coding lnc-SLC26A3-4:1
Source: RNAcentral